ACAGAGAUCUGCCUGCCUCUGCCUCCCAAGUGUUGGGAUUGAAGGCGUGUGCCGCCACCACCCGGCCUAUACAGGUUUUCUUUAGUUAUUUUCUUAUACACUGAGUGUAAUGUAAUAGAUGGUGGGAAAGAGGUAUCAUUUUCUACCACUCACAGACACAGAAGAGAAUGAUGCAUUGGUUGAGAGUGGUUCUUUUCCUUGAAAUGUUCUUGCAGUCAUAGGAGUAUGCAUGGUACUGUGUAUCUAGUAUAUAAAAAUGCCUUUGUUUAAUCUUUUGGUGUGCUUAGAGAUGCCAGGAGAGUCAUUUUAUUUGAUUUAUGGGACACUUAAGAAGUUGAUAAGGUUUUACAACAAACCAUACUUUCUGUGAAUCACUAAGUUACCUAGCAGUUCUGAGAGUUCCCAGUGAGGGCUUGCAUAACUUUGUAAGCCUUUCUGCAUGGAUAUUCCAUCUAGAUCUGAGUUUGUAAGCCUUUCUGCAUGGAUAUUCCAUCUAGAUCUGAGUUUGGGGCACUUUCUUACAUCAGCGGCAUUCAAAGCAGUACUGGUACAGGUAGAGUUCUAGUAUUCUGUGGUUAUAUACUUCUAACUCAAAGCUGACCCUUUCAUACUCGUAUUUUCUUUCUCCCUCCAUAUCUACACACACACACACAUACAUACACACACACACACACACACACACACACACACACACACACACACACACUCUACCUAAAUCUCUGGAAGAAAAAAUAAGGGCAAAAUUCCUAAGAAAUUUCUAGUAAACGGCAUAAACUUUUAAAGGGGAAAAAAAAAAAACCGAGGGUGGAGGAUGGCCUAUGACUUUAAUCUCAGCACUUGGGAGGAGGUAGAGGCAGGCUCUGUGAGUUUGAGGCCAGGCUGGUGUACAGAGUGAGUUGUAACACAGCCAGGACUACACAGAGAAACCCUGUCCAAAAAACAAAACCAACUGAACUUAAGUCUGAUAAUUGUGAUAUUACAUUGCUAUUGUGUCCUACUUUAUUCAUGUUUCCAGUGUUAUGGAAACAUUUUGCAAGGAUCAGGUAACUGCAAUUACAUGUUUAUGCUAUAUGGAGAACAUUAAAGUAUUCUAAGUGGAGCAUGAUAGCUGUAGCCAACCUUAGUACAAGUACCGAAAGUUUUUGUUGAUUCAGCAAAUGUGAAUAUUAUAUGAUUCUGUCAUUUUAAAAAAUGUGAAUGGGUGCUUUUCCUGCAUGUAUUGUCAGUGCUCAUGUGCCUGGUGCCUACAGAGGCCAGCCCGCAUUGAAUCCCCUGGAACUGGAGUUUACAGUCACUCGUAUUCACACCCCAAUCUUCUGCUGCUCCCAACCUCAGCCAUCUGGGACCUGUAAUCUGGGAAAGAGGGCUGUGAUGAUUUUUCAGAACUGUUUUUCUGUGUAGCUCUUGCUGUCCUGGAACUCACUUUGGAGCCCAGGCUGGCCUUGAAUUCACAGAGAGCUUCCUGCGUCUGCCUCCCAAGUGCUGGGAUUGGUUUUGUGGAUAAAGGCACGUGCUGCUGACCCUGCCCACCUGAGUUUGAUCUCCAGCACUGACAUGGUGGAAGAGAGUGUCCUUUCAGAGCUUGCCUUCUGACCUAUGCUAUGGCAUGCGUACAUACACAAAAUAAUAUAGAUAAAAUUUUCAAUUGUCAGCAGAGUUGAGUUUAGUGCUAAUCUGAAUCUUCAUUCAGCCAGUGUUAAGGAAAUAGGGAUUAUUUUGGAUCAGAGAAAUUACCCUCUGAAUAAAAAUAAGUUUUCAAAAUAGAACUAGUCCAUCCAGCACAAAGUGGUAAGUGGUAUAUUUUUUGGGGGGGGGGGGGCGUUGUUCGAGGCAGGGUUUCUCUGUAUUGCUUUGGGGGCUGUCCUAGAAGCAAUCCGUAGACCAGACUGGCCUUGAACUCAGGAGAUCCUCUUGCCUCUGCCUCCUGAGUGCUGGGAUUAAAGGCGUGCGCCACCAACACCCAGCUUCAAAGUGGUAUCUUACUGAAGCCUUGGUUACUCUUAGCAAAUUUUUUAAGAGACCAGCUACAAAGUCUGAUUUUUUUUUAAAGGGCUAAAUCUUAUUUUUCUAUUUCUAGGUUGCUAAGAUAACAUGAAACUGCUGAAAGUCCAGCCACUGGUCUAAUACAGAAGAACGUAAAAGCCAGGAUGCUGGCUCACACUGCUGCGUUAUGUCAGUCGACUCCUGUUUAGAAGGGCACGGCCUCGUGGGCUGUGCUUACCACAGUUGACAUAGGUGCUGUUGUCCAGCAGGGAGGGUGCUGCCUGAGAUCUGAGCGGUGCGUCUACACGAAGAGCACACAAGUAUCAAAGGCCUGUGCCGCCACCACCUGGCCUAUGUGGCCUUUAGAGAGGGAGAAAAUACAGAUUUUUUUUUUAAGGUUACAUGCUUUGAGCAAAACCCCAAACGGCCCAGAAGCAGCAGCAGACCAGAAAACCUGAUGCGCACAGGACACAUAAUUUCUACAAUUAUAAUUCAAGCUUUUUUUGUUGAGACAGACAGGUUCCAGUCCUUCUGCUCCUUUGUGCACUUUAAAUACAUGUAUGAAUUCAAUUCCAAGUAGCAUUCCCCUGACUCUCAAAUGCUAUGACAGACUGACUCAUAUUUUCAAAGGAUGACCAGGAAAGGCAAAUUCAUUUAGUUGUACAGUGAAUGUUUUAUACCUUUUAUACCGAUUGUUUGGAAGGGGUUUGUGUUGUGAAUUCAGGGACGCCUCCUAGAUUCUAGGGUUACAACCAUGACCCAGCUUUAAUCUGUCUGUCUUUUUGUUUGGUUUUUCAAAGACAACUCACAAAAGACUAGUAGAGAAACUUUAAUUAAAUAGUUCUCAUAUGUACUGUUCCACAUUGUGGAAAUAAAACUAUGCAGAACAUUGUGAACAAUGGCACAAACACAUGUAGACUAUGUAUGAUAAAGCCCCUGUUGUAUGUUGCAAGUUUCCAGGAGCUGUUUGAGCAUCUGUGGUGCACCGGAAUUCCACACUGCUGGUCCCAGGCCUUUGUCAGUGCAGCUGCACUCUGUAUGCUCCUAUCAACAACUUAACCUAAGGAAGAAAGUGAAUGUUAGCAAUCACUAUUUACCAAAACAAUCUCUGUGAGUUCAAAGCCAGCCUUUCUCUAUAGUCCAGCUUUCUGUUACAUGGGUGGCAGUUUAGUACUCAAGGCAGGACUUGGACUGCUCAGCCUCACACAGGAUCAGAUACAUCAGUGUCGACAACUUGAGCAGUCACCCUGAAUAGGAAACAAAGGGGUACCUUGGCAAAGGGUGCUUCCGUCAACCGUAUAAACAACUUAUUGGGGCCGGCAACAGGACUGAAUGAGUAAACAAAGUGACUGUCCUAGAGGGAAAGAGAAUAAAGUCAGAUAGACUCACAUCUGUGAUAUCUACAAGCCCUAUAGAACCUUUUACAGUAAAGAAACCAGUGAACUGAGGGCUUUUCUUUUUAAAUUUUCGGAUAGGAUCUCCCUCACACUGGAUGGCUCAGCUUAGGUUAGAGUGUGUUAUCUUUUUAUCUGCCUUAAUGCCCUGAAACAUGGUCUCUCCCUGAUCCGGCUGGCCAGCCAGUGAACAGCUGACAUCUGUCCUCACCCACUACAUGCCUGUACAUAAAACGUUCUAGUACAUUCACCCUCAAGUUUGUCUGUUCUGUAAUUUCCUUUGCUUUAAAAAAAAAAAUCACAUCUCAGCAUUUGGGAGGAACAAUGCAAGUUCAAAACCUACCAGGACAAAAAUAUAAUGUUCUAAUACAUCUAAAACUGGAGAAAUGGCUUAUAGGUUAAAGGCUGCUCUUCCAGAGGUCCCCAGUUCAAUUUCCAGCAACCACAUGGCGGCUCACAACACACACAAACACAACCUAUAGAUGGUAUAAGCACAGAAGAAAUAGGCCUAUACUCAAUUAACCAAAAGAAAAUACACGAUAACAAGCAUAAACACAACCACUUUGUAUUCUGGCUUUAUGUAAAGAAUUUAUUCUCAGAAUGUUGGUUCUAGGACAUAUGCUAGCAUUAAAAUGAUAAGUAAACAUUAAAUAUCUUAAAA
Molecule: long non-coding RNA, 4038 nt
Organism: Mesocricetus auratus (golden hamster)
Lineage: Eukaryota; Metazoa; Chordata; Mammalia; Rodentia; Cricetidae
Exons: 3
Source: RefSeq, a predicted model, not a curated record